UACAGAGGGUGCAAGCGUUGUUCGGAAUUACUGGGCGUAAAGCGCGUGUAGGUGGUGGCAUAAGUCGGAUGUGAAAUCCCUCGGCUUAACCGAGGAAGUGCAUCCGAUACUGCGUCACUUGAGUACUGGAGGGGAUGGCGGAAUUCCCGGUGUAGAGGUGAAAUUCGUAGAUAUCGGGAGGAACACCUGUGGCGAAGGCGGCCAUCUGGACAGUCACUGACACUGAGACGCGAAAGCGUGGGUAGCAAACAGG
Molecule: ribosomal RNA, 253 nt
Filed under: uncultured bacterium
Lineage: Bacteria
Description: partial 16S ribosomal RNA
Rfam family: Bacterial small subunit ribosomal RNA
Source: RNAcentral